RNAcentral lists this ribosomal RNA (1234 nucleotides) under metagenome. Its description in RNAcentral is "bacterial LSU rRNA". It matches the Rfam family "Bacterial large subunit ribosomal RNA", at positions 1564 to 2808 of the family's 2925-position model. The record is from RNAcentral.
UGAAUACGAGAUGCUAAGGCGUCGAAGUAGUGUAUGUCAUACUUCCAAGAAAAGCUUGCACUGUCAUAGAUAAAAAAUGCCUGUACCAUAACCGACACAGGUGGGUAAGUAGAGUAUACUAAGGGGCGCGAGAUAACUCUCUCUAAGGAACUCGGCAAAAUAACUCCGUAACUUCGGGAGAAGGAGUGCCUUAUUCUUAAGGUUGCAAUAACAAGAUCCAAGCAACUGUUUAUCAAAAACACAGGUCUCCGCUAAGUCGUAAGACGAUGUAUGGGGGCUGACGCCUGCCCAGUGCCAGAAGGUUAAAGAAGUUGGUUAGCAAUUGCGAAGCUGGUAACUGAAGCCCUGGUGAACGGCGGCCGUAACAAUAACGGUCCUAAGGUAGCGAAAUUCCUUGUCGGGUAAGUUCCGACCCGCACGAAAGGCGUAAUGAUUUGGAUGCUGUCUCGGAGAGGGGCUCGGUGAAAUAGACUUGUCUGUGAAGAUGCGGACUACCUGCACCAGGACAGAAAGACCCUAUGAAGCUUUACUGUAACUUGAAAUUGAAAUUGGACUUUAUUUGCGCAGUAUAGGUGGGAGGCGUUGAUUAUAAUCUUGCGGGAUUAUUGGAGCCAUCAGUGAGAUACCACUCUUGUAAUGUUAGAUUUCUAACUUUGAAUCAUUAUCUGGUCAAAGGACAAUUUCAGGCGGGCAGUUUGACUGGGGCGGUCGCCUCCUAAAUGGUAACGGAGGCGUACAAAGGUUUCCUCUGAACGGUUAGAAAUCGUAUCUAGAGUGUAAAGGCAUAAGGAAGCUUGACUGUGAGACCUACAAGUCGAGCAGGGACGAAAGUCGGUCUUAGUGAUCUGACGGUACUGAGUGGAAAGGCCGUCACUCAACGGAUAAAAGUUACUCUAGGAUAACAGGCUGAUCUCCCCCAAGAGUUCACAUCGACGGGGAGGUUUGGCACCUCGAUGUCGGCUCAUCGCAUCCUGGGGCGGUAGUACGUCCCAAGGGUUGGGCUGUUCGCCCAUGAAAGCGGUACGCGAGCUGGGUUCAGAGCGUCGUGAGACGGUUCGGUCCAUAUCCGGUGUAGGCGUUAGAAUAUUGAGAGGAGCCUUCUUUAGUACGAGAGGACCGAGAAGGACAUACCUCUGGUGUACCAGUUAUCGUGCCAACGGUAAACGCUGGGUAGCUAUGUAUGGAGUGGAUAACCGCUGAAAGCAUCUAAGUGGGAAGCCCACCUCAAGAUAAG